Molecule: long non-coding RNA, 1162 nt
Filed under: Callithrix jacchus (white-tufted-ear marmoset)
Lineage: Eukaryota; Metazoa; Chordata; Mammalia; Primates; Cebidae
Description: lncRNA (ENSCJAG00000085144.1)
Source: RNAcentral
AGCCCACAAGUCAGAUGCAGGUGGUGGUUGAGAAAGCAGCAAACAAACUUUGAAAAAUGAAAGGGGGACACAAAGGUACGGGCCGGAAGACUGCACACAGCAGGUUAGAAAACCAGAGCAUUCUUAUGUUCUCUCUGAUUGAAGGUGGGGAUAAAACAGAGAUUUUUCAAGAAGAAAAUGAAGCAUACCGUUUGAAAAAAUAGAGAUCAAAUAAUGUACCUUUUAACCUUUGGAAAACAAUGUUUUCACAACACAAACUACUGAAAGUAAGUAAAGUUCAACAAACAUCUCUUGAUUGUUGGAGAAUGGUCAGAAGAAAUAUCUGCAUAUUCACGCUUCCAAGAAAGAGGCUGAUGAAGUCUCCUGGGACCUGCUAGAAAACCAGAUCAAUUAAAUGUUCAGAUUUAGCAUAAACAGGGGACCAGGGAGCCCCUCUCGCUUUCUGGGCCAGUCUGGAGACCCGCAGCACCUGAACUCGUAGGUAGAAGCCUGGAGAGAAAUCACUGCAGUGCCUGAGUAGGAUUUCCCCUCUCUAGAGUUGAAUGGGGAAUAGCAGCAGGCAAAUGACAGAGAAGAGAGAAGGCAAAGCCAAAAAUUCAGCCGCACAAGACAUCUGGGCUUUCCGGAAUAAUUGUUUGUGAUCUCAUGUGUGGGUGCUGUUGUGUGCACAUGUGUGUGAGAAAAGUUUGCAGGGGAGGCUUUGGUUGAAGGAGGGAGGGUGGUUCUUUUUUUAGCCUGGAAAAUUGCCACAAUGUGACAAAAACCUUAGUACACCCCAUAUGGGUGAAAGGCAAUAGGAAAAAAAAAUCCCUCUCAGAAAAAGUAACCAGUUGCCUGAACCCUAACCCUGAAGUGAAAAUUUACCUGGCCAAGAACAAAAAUCCUAUUCAGUCUGGAGAAGCCUAAUCUCAACCUGCGUGGGGGCGAUCCUCGCCAAUGGAGCGGGAAUGCCCUGCCAUUUAUCACCUAAGAUAAAGCUCUCAGCAAUCCCCACAUGCAAAUGGAAACCUGUGUGUAGAAAGGAUUAAUCUAAGUUGUUCAGCAUUGUUCAAAGUGUGUCUGUGGAGGUCGUUCUGUCUCCCCUGCCUCCAAACAAGCAAUAAAUUAUCCACCUGUGAGCCAAUUUCCCAACCAGAAAGAGACAAUGUGGGCAGAAGCGGCC